GCGCCCCAGUCAGCUCAGGCCUGGGUUCAGUUAGUAACACUCCACAAGUUACAAUACCCUUCAUGCUCCCAACCCAACCUGAGAACAAACACUAGGAGCCCCGGUUCUUUGCAGCCCUGUGUGCCUGGUAGGAGAAAUCGCGUUAACACGCAGGAACUGUGCACCCGCCAAGGAUUUGCUUCUGCAUAGGAGCCACCAGUGUCAAAUGCUGAAAAACGCAUCCCCGCGCGGGCCAGCCGUCCCUUGUGAACUGAAGCCAGGUAUUCCCAGUAAAAUCCUCUUGCAGGUGACCUCACUGUGGCCUCUGCUCCUCACUAUCCAGCAAGCCCUUGAAGUCCAGCAGGUCUGUGUGCUGCUGUUAGGAACUCAAGUUUCCCACCUCACCAGCAAGUCCCGUGGCUACACAGCAGGCAGACCUUGCAGAGGACAGACUUGGACACCAAGCCCCUGGACACCAAGCCUGGCCUCGAACCAGGAAGAACCUGAGGAGCAGAUCAUUCUUCCCAGCUCUUGGGCAGGUCGAUCUCAGCCUCUCACCCGGGCCUUCUGCUCACUUCCGUUUCUCUCCCAGGCACAUUUUAAGUAGAUGACCUGCAGUGGGAAGCUUGGGUGAUGUUAGCCACAGGGACUCCUGACCCUGAGACAGCCACCCACCUGGAGUGGACUGCCUCAGGGUGGCCAGCGAGGCCAGGUGUCCAGAACCGCAGUUCCAGACUCACCCCAGCUGUGCCUGUGCCCUAGGUGCCUGCUGUGCCUCAGGGUGGACGGCUAUCUCAGUUGUAGCCUCCGUGGUGGGCCUGCAGUGCUAUCUAACCCAUCAGCCUCUGAUUACAGGUCCCUAAUAUUUACAGCUAGAGAUAGUUUUCCAAUACAUUUGUAGACAUAUAAAUAAAUCUAAUCAUACUGCAGGUGACAUGAUCUUUACAAUCAUGACGGAUAACCUGUCGGCAUCAAAGACACUCGUCUAUCCCAGGUAUACGGAGGUGUUCUCCUGUGCUGUGUUCUGAAGGUCUUAUUGACGUAUCCUUUAGCUGUAGAUAUGUAGUACACCACAAGUAUGUUGAGGAUGUGACUUGAGCAAGGGCGGGUUCUGCACUCUCCCUUCCAUAGACAAAUGACUAGGCUGUGUUCCUGAUUCCGCGCUCAGAUGGCGAUAGGUUUCCUGCGUCUGUUUCCACACUUCUGUCCCCGUGGCCCAUUUGUCCCUGUGCUAAUUAACGCCACCCUGGGCCAAAAACCGUCUUCACGCAGCUGUGCCCAGGAGAGCAAGGCCUCUCUUGUGUGUGGUUCUGUUGGUGCAUGGUAAUCACACAUGGUAGCAGGAUUCCUCGUGACCUAUUUGCACGUGCACAUAGUACAGUUUUGAUUGACUGAUUGUCUAGUGGCUCCCCUUCCCUGUACUCCUCCCUCCCCCAGUCCCCUUGAUCUACUUACUCUAUUGUUCUCUCUUGAAUUAUAAUUUUCUAACAUCUGUACAUUGAAAUUCCCUCUCUAUUGUGGUAUAUGUACACAUGGACAAAGCAUCAUGGGGUAGAUUUCAUUCCCUGGUACUGCUUGUUCAAGAUUGACUUAGCCUUCCUGGAUCUUUGAAUUUCCAUGAAUAAUUUAGGAUUAUCUUAUCUACUUUUACCAGAAAAGAAAAGCUGUAGUGUUGUUGACUGGGAUUAUUUAAGUCUGUAGUCCAUGAACAUGGUAUAGCUCUCCAUGUUUUACCUCUUACUCUUUCUCAGUGAUAUUAUAUGAAUUUGUGUGUAGCACAUUUCAUUUUUCAUUAUAUUUUUUCCUACUUAACGUUUUGAGGGUACUAUAAUAUUGCCAUUUAAAUUUUAGUUUGGGGUUUUUUAUUGUUUGUCUGUGUGGUUAAUUAUAGAUAAAAUAUAACUUAUUCUGUGUUUUGGCCUUCGA
This is a long non-coding RNA of Marmota monax (woodchuck), 1905 nucleotides long. RefSeq lists it as uncharacterized. The transcript has 2 exons. The record is from RefSeq and is a predicted model, not a curated record. Lineage: Eukaryota; Metazoa; Chordata; Mammalia; Rodentia; Sciuridae.